This 32-nucleotide transfer RNA is filed under the name Trachylepis damarana (Damara skink). RNAcentral describes it as "partial tRNA-Tyr". The record is from RNAcentral. Lineage: Eukaryota; Metazoa; Chordata; Lepidosauria; Squamata; Scincidae.
GGCUUGAUAAGAACGGGACUGGAACCCGCCUG